This 12934-nucleotide long non-coding RNA is filed under the name Panax ginseng (ginseng). RNAcentral describes it as "long non-coding RNA (PGIN_LNC004402)". The record is from RNAcentral. Lineage: Eukaryota; Viridiplantae; Streptophyta; Magnoliopsida; Apiales; Araliaceae.
AAAUAAAUAAAAUCCCAGGUUGCUCUAACCUUAAAAUAUUUGUGCGGAAACAUAAACAAAUAAUAAGUCUUAAGUAACAUCAAGUCUAAAUAUCAUUACAUAACCAUAUAAAUAAUCAGUCUUCAUUACUUGCUAAUCUUGCCCUUGCCUUUACUAGUGGAAGGCUCGUCUGCUCUUUCGUUCUUAACUGCAAUGUUAUUAUUACGCAAGAGUGAGCACGAUUGCCCACAAGUAUAACAAUAUAACAAUUGAAUAAUAACAUGCGAAUGAAUUAACAACUUAUGAUAUAAAAGCUCGACUUUUGAAUCAAGAAUGAAUAACAAGAAUCAAAAGAAAUUCUGAGGGUCUUAAGACCUUGAACUAUGUCCUAGGUUGUCAAGUGUUUAUUCUUGAAACCUUUAACAGUAAUAAGACUAUGGACUCUUCUUCUCGUACUUAGGGGGGUCAGCCCUUAGUACCAUACCGUGCAUAAUAUCUUAACGUUAACGUAUAAGUAAUCCCCUUUACAGGGUUGUUCAUCUCAGUUUGACAUUCGAGUCUGCACCAAAGGAAGUUUGGUUUGGAUAAAUCAUCAAGGGUUCUGAAAUUUAGAACGCUCAUCAACUAUGGACUAGUCGAAUCAUUAUGGGUUUGCUAGUCUAACAAGGUUUAACAAUAACUGAUAAUUUAAUUUGAAUAACAAUCUCAAGAGGUAUACAAUAGAAUAAGUAUUGUAUAACAGCAUCAUGCUUGAAAGAUUUAUAAAAAAACAGACUUGGUCAAUAAUAAUGAGAACUUACUCAAUGUAGAAAGGUGAAUUAAUCAACUUAUAUAACGAUAACAAGUAGGGUUAGGAAACUUGCCUCGUGCGUAGAUUACACUUUUAAUUAAACUCGUUCCUUGAUUUAAAUCCUACAUAUCAUUUACGUUCACAAUACCAGUUAAUUAUAACGUACUAAACAUCACAAGUUCAUUUUUUUUGUUUAACUCGAAUUCAUGACUAUACUUAGUCAAAUUACCAUACUUGUUUUCAUAUAAUAUUAUACUACACGAACAACAAGUUAAUUACAUAAUCAAUGAUUCAAUUAACAUAUAGAUGUCUUCUUAACUUGAUAAAAACUUAUUUUAAUAUCUCAUCAUAUGACUAAUACAUUCUUAUGUUCAUUUGAUUAGGUUACCAUUAUAGUCCCUAACAUGAAACCAUUAAAAUGCUCAUUCUUGGACAAACUGCAGAGUGGCGCUGCGGCGCCACCUUGUAGUUCAUUCUCGGCGCUGCGGCGCGGCCAACGCUGCGGCCUGGACAAAGGUGCUGCGGCAUGGCUGGCGCUGUGGCGCAGGUAAUGCCUGCAGUCGGCGUCGCGGUGCGGCGAAGCAGUAGCUGAACUGCAAUUUGUUAAAAAUUGCAGAACAUAGCCAAAACACCCAAUUAACAUGUUUUUGCACGAAUAUAGAUAUACCCAAACAUUGUAAUGCACAAAUAACUAAUACUAAACCCUUCUAGGAUGUUUUUAACAAGUUUAAACACAUAAUUUUCAGAAAUCAAACAUGAAAUUUCACUGUUCUUGAAGUUCUUGAAGGUUUUGAACAAAAACAUAAAAUCUAACACUACGGAUUCAUUAUAAGACCAAAUCCAACCAUUCAAGUUUGGUUUUGUUUGUUUUAGCAUGCAUAAUCAUAUACAAGUGGAAAUUUUACAGAACAGUUUAUGUUUGACAUAUUAAAAUCACGUAUAAGGCCAUAUGGCCAUAUAACAUACUCUGUAAAUUUUUAAGCCAUAACAUACGUUAUAAUAUUAUGAAACUGAUGAUAUGGAAUCAUAUACAAUAUAUAUUAAAACAUGCUAUGAUGUUAUAUUAAUACAUAUAAUCACAUAAUCGUACCCUUAAUAAUUAACAGAGACUUUAUAGAGUGAAUGAAAGCCAUUUUCAUAAAAAAAACUAAUAACGUAAAAUAGGAAUUGGUUUGAAGAGAUUACCCAAGCGUAGAGUGAAUUAAUAGGAGAUGAAUUCCUUCUCAACCCUUCUUCAAUCACAAUUCACUUAACAAUUCUCCCUAAAAAAUUCUCAAUCUCUCUCUGUAUCGCUCUCUGUUUCUACUUUUCUAGACUUAGGCAAUAAUAAAAAUAAAAGAGAAGACGUAUACUAAAUAAGAAAGACUGACGCAUUGUGGAGGUCAGUUACCUAUCAUGGGUAACUGCUCCCAACCUCCCUUGGUGCCAUGUUUGGCUAGUUAGAAUAGGUUUUAAAAACUAUUAAUUUAAUAAAACCUUAUCAUAUAGUUUAAAUAAUGUCACACUCCUUUAUAAAAUAAAUCAAUAUCUUAUUUAAUUUACUUUAAAUAAAAUAUAUUAAUUUCUCAUUAAUUCACAUAGUCACAUAAUUAAAUUUCUCCUUUAAUAAUAAUGUUAAAUUAUUAAAUCUCUAAUUAAUAAUUAAAUUAAUUAAAAUACUAUUAGGCUUAUUCAAUAUUUCUUUUAAUAUAAUAAGCUGACAUAAUUACAUACUUUGAAUAAUAAAAAUUCUCCACAUUAAUUUAAUAAAUAUAACACAUAUAAUUAAAUUAAUCUACCACAACUUCAUCAAUUAAUUAUUAAAUCUAAUAAUUAAUUCAUCGAAAAAAUAUUUAUUCAAUCCAAUAAAUAUUAAAAAUUAAAUUACAAAAUCUCAGUUGUCACAUCUUUCUCCUCUUAAAAGGAUUCUGUCCUCAGAAUCACAACUCAACAAUUUGUCCCGUUACAUUCUCCCCCCUUACAAAGAUUCUGUCCCCAGAAUCGCUUAUAACAAACUAGGUAAACAAAUAAGGAUAGUUUUUCAUCAUAUUCUCUUCGAGUUCCCACGUAGCUUCUUCAACGUUGUGGUUCCUCCAAAUUACCUUAACAGAAGGUAUUACUUUAUUUCUUAGAACUUGUUCUUUUUGGUCGACAAUUUGAACAGGAAUUUCUUCGUAAGAUAAGUCUUCGUCGAAAUGUAGGGGUUCAUAUUCAAUCACGUGCUUGUAAUCGGGUUUGUAGGGUCGUAGGACUGAGACAUGGAAAAUGUUGUGGACAUUCUCUAGAGCUGGAGGUAAGACUACCUCAUAAGAAACUUCUCCGACCCUUCAUAGAACUUCAAAGGGUCCAAUGAAUCUUGGGCUUAAUUUCCCUUUCUUUCUGAAUCUGAUCUUUCCUUUCCAGGGAGAGACCUAAAACACAUAACUACCUGGCUCGAACUCAACAUUUUUACGGUGUGGAUCGAUGUAUUUCUUCUGCCUGUCUUGAGCUGCUGUCAAUCUUGUUCGGAUCACUUUGACUAUUUCUGCUGUUUGUUGUACCAAUUCCGGGCCUAGUAAUUGUCUUUCGCCAACUUCAUCCUAGUAUAGCGGAGUUCUGCACUUUCUGUCGUAUAACGCUUCAUAAGGCGGCAUGCCAAUACUGGCGUGGUAAUUGUUGUUGUAAUUGAACUCUAUGAGCGGUAGAUGGUCAUUCCAAUUUCCUUUAAAGUCCAUUAUACAAGCUCUUAACAUAUCUUCUAAUGUCUGAAUUGUUCUUUCACUCUGUCCAUCUGUUUGAGGGUGAUAUGCCAUGCUCAUUCACAACUGUGUACCCAUGCAUUCUUGUAGACAUUUCCAGAAGUUCGACGUAAAACGUGGAUCUCUAUCAGAAACAAUUGACACCGGAACUCCGUGCCUUGAAACAAUUUCUUUCACAUAUAACCUGGCCAACUGAUCUAAGUUGAAUUUGAUUUUGAUCGAAAGGAAGUGUGCGGAUUUCGUCAAUCGGUCAACAAUAACCCAUACUACAUCGUAGCCUUUCUGAGUUAUCGGUAGGCCAACCACGAAAUCCAUCGUAAUAUGUUCCCAUUUCCAUUCUGGAAUCUCUAAAGGUUGUAGUAACCCAUUCGGCCUCUGAUGUUCUGCUUUAACUUUCUGACAUGUCAGGCAUUUGGCAACACAUUCUGCAACCUCUCGUUUCAAAUUUGUCCACCAAAAAUGUUGUCAAAGAUCUUGAUACAUCUUGGUGCUACCAGGGUGAAUCGAAUAUCUUGAGUUGUGAGCCUCACUCAGAAUUUCUUCCUUAAUCUCUGUUACUGGCGGUACCCAAAUUCUAUUCUCAAAUCUCAGUAUUCCUUCCUUAUCCAUCUUGAAUCUUGAUUCGGUUCCUUCAGAUAUCUUCUUUUUCAUCGAUUGACAUUCAUCAUCAUGAAGUUGAGCCUCCUUAACCUUGUCUAGUAGAGUUGUACCAGAUUGCAUCUGAAAUAGCUUCUCAUCGACAUCCAUAGGACACUUUACUUCUAAUUCCAGCUUCCCACGGUCGGUCACCGCUAAGCAGUUCAAGGAGCUGGGACCACCGGAGUUUUUGGGAAAGCCAGAACCACCUAAGGCAGAGACGUGGUUAAAGCAGAUCACAAAGAUAUUUGAUGUCUUGGGAUGCUCCGAGGAGCAAAAGGUUCCCUUUGCCACCUUUAUGUUACGUGAAGAGGCAGAUUAUUGGAGGGAAUCUGUAAAAUGUACCUAGCCUAACGAACUCAAGAUGUGUUGGGAGAAGUUCCAAGAACUGUUCAAUGACAAGUACUUUUCUGAAAGUAUUUUUCACAUGAAGGAGGUGGAGUUCAUCAAGUUAGAGCAAAAUAAUAUGACCGUGUCGCAAUACGAGGCUAAAUUUGCGGAGUUAUCCCGGUUUGCAUCCCAUUUGGUCGAUAAUGAGGAGCGAAUGACGCGAAUGUUUCUAAGAGGUUUGAAACCCAAUAUACGUCAAUACCUCAUUUCUCACAAACUUUGUUUAUAUUCAGAUGUUGUGAAUAGGGCUUAGUUAUUGGAGCGCAAUAAUGAGUUAGCACAACCAAAAGGCAACGACCAAAAACACGAUAAUAAUCGUACCGGUGGCAACGACUAUUGGAACAAUGAUAACCAUCGUGGGGGAAAUUAUCAUGCCAAGAAUGGUAACCACUUUGAUGGUAAUCAUGGCCAAGAUAAUAGAAGUGGAAAUUUCAAGAAGAGAAGGUUCAAUAAUGAUGGAAAGAUAGCAGCACCAGCACCCGUUUUAAAGGAAAGAGAACGACCGCCGGUCAUAUAUUUUAAAUGCGGAGGGGAGGGACAUAUCAGUUCAAAUUACGUGAUGCAGUCCAAAGCAUGUUAUAAUUGUGGAAAAGAAGGUCACCUAGCCCGAUUUUGUCGUGCACCAAAGUCAAGUCCAGCUGGGACGGUGGCACCAAAGGCGAAUACGUACAAAACAAAGUCGAUGGUUUCAGGAAGAGCGUUUUUCAUGACUUUUCAAAAAGCUAGUAACCCGAACGAAGUUAGCACGGGUUAGUUAAUUAUAAAUUCUUGCGAAGUCUAUACCUUAUUAGAUACCGGUUCUACCCAUUAUUUUCUCUCUCUUGCUUGCGCUCAACAUUUAAAUUUGACCCCAGAGAAGUUAGACUUUGACUUCUUGGUUGAAAUUUCGUUAGUAGAAACCUUCAUUUCAUGUGUUAUCCAAGUCUUGGAUGAGAGUCAUAGUUUUUAAAUGAUAUUUCUAUCGUUAAUAAAUUUCCUGACGUAUUCUCGAAGAACUUCCUAGCCUACCCCAGAGUAUGAAAUCGAAUUUUGUAUUGACCCCAGUACAAAACCCAUUUCUUAAACCCUCAAAUAUUUCUUCAACCAAAACGAACGUAUAAUGAGCCAAAGAUGUUGGCUCGAGCUGUUGAAGACUACAACUAUACCAUUCAAUAUCAUUGUAGAAGAGCGAACGUGGUAGCUGACGCGUUGAGUAGAAGAUCGUAUGCGUUUAUGAGUGCGAUGUUGUUAACAUAAAAACCCAUUUCGUAUAACUUAUAAAUGAUGAAGAUAGAGUUAAAGACUCUAGGAACCCACGUGAAGAUAGCGAAUAUACGAUUAGAAUUGACUUUAAUCGAUAAUGUUAAAGGCGCUCAAGCUUCAGACCCGGAGCUAAUGAAAACGAAGAAGAAGGUUCAAAAAGGCGUUAUUCUAGAAGCAAGAGUCGAUGAAGAGAGAAAAUCUCAACCCUCGAUUUAAUUGGCCCAUUUGAAAUCCUCGAUUGAGUAGGAAUUGUGGCCUAUAGACUCGUUUAAUCGCCAAGUAUGUCGCGUGUUCAUAACAUUUUUAUUAUGUAUCGAUGUUACGUAAAUAUGUGGACGACCCGAACCACAUUAUUGAAUUAAAACUAUACGAGAUAACAGAAGAUUUAACGUAUGAGGAGAUACGUGUUAAAAUCUUGGAUAAGAAGGAUCGUAUUCAACACUCAAAGGUUAUACCUCAAGAGUUAGAAUCUGAAAUGAAGUCAAGGUAUCCUCAUCUGUUCGGCAUACCAGGUAUCCUCAUAAGGAGGGGAGAUUGUAAGACCCCAAAUUUUAUGAAUAAAGAUUUAAAUUUCUCAAAAUAUUUUUUGGAAUAUUAUGGUGUGGAUUUGAUAUAAUGUUAUAGUUGUGGGUAAUAUUUAUAAAUUUUGAAAAGUAAGCAAGUUGUUAUAUAAUAUUCGAUUGGUUGGGGAAUAUUCGUUUUAAGGGGAAUAUUCGUACGACGACAUAAUCAUUGGUGGAUCCCACAACGGAUGUAUUGUCGUAGUAAGAAAACGACAGAAUUAUCUUUUUAUAACGGCGAAAGUGUUACCGUUAAAACUGUUGAACUACCAGGUAGUAAAAGUACAAUAAUACGCGUGGUUGCAUAAUAGCACAUGGUAUUGAUUAUUGAUGCUUACGUGAGAAAUCACUCAGUUAUACUCAAUUAUUGCUACAGUAAUUGCUGCAUCAUAUCUCUCAUAUUAUUGAUUCAAUUAUUGUCACAGUAUCAUCUGCAUAAUAUGUUAUAUUAUUAAAUCAAUAAUUGAGACGACAAAGUUAUUCAUAUUAUUAUUUGCAAUAUUGACAAUGUCUAGAAGUUCUGUCAAGGAGAGGUUUGGUCACCUAAUUGCGCGCCAAUAAGGAGAAAUCCUUAUCGGAAAGCCCCCUCUUUCCUGGGAACGACCUGGUUGUUAAAUAUUGUGAGUUAUAAUAUUAAUGAUGAAUAAGUUCGUGUUGAUUAAAGAUGAAAUUGAUAGUUCCAUUGUGUUGGAAUUAUUAGUGUUAGUGGAAAUCGACAUUUAUUUCGAUAUUAAUUGAUGUCUGGAAGUUAUACUGACCAGUUGGGUAAUUAACCGGAUAAAUGAGCAAUUAAUUGCUAUUAAUUCACAUGAUUAUAACUAUUUGUUAACAAGUGUGUACUAUUGAUUCACAUUCAUGUACUAUUAGGGGAGUUGGUGCAAGAUUGAUAAUACUUGUAUGACUAAGUUAAAAAUAAAGAUAUAGAUGGAGGUACUAUACUGUAAUUCGUAUUUUCACAUGUCUAGAACUAUUGAUUCACAUGAUUUACUAUUAGGGGAGAUGGUGCAAGUUUGAGAAUACUUGCAGGACUAAUUUAAAAAUGAAGAAAAAGAGGAAGGUAUUAUACUUUAAUAUUUCGAGCCCCAAAAUGUGCAAUUAUUGAAACUAUAUUUUCCUAUAAAUAGAAGCUCAUUCUUCCUUCAUUUCUCACCAAUUCACUAAAGCUAUAGAGCAAUUAUUAUUAAGAGAAAUUAUAGAGAGAAAGAAGAAGAGAAGUCUGCUACCUCACUACUCCAGUAUCCAGUAUUUUUCUGAGGUAAGGGGUAUUAGUCUUUCGUAUUCAUAAAGAGAGCUAUUAUUGUUCCAUUAUUUAUUAUUAUGUUGGAAUAACCUUUCUAUGCGAAGUACUGCAUACAUGGUGAAAUUCUUCUGUUAUUCCAUUCUUUAUUAUUCUGUUGGAAUAACCUGUCUGUGCGGUCUAUCACAUGCCUGGUGAAUUCUGUUGUUAUUCCAUUUUUUAUUAUUAUGUUGGAAUAACCUGUCUAUGCAAAGUAUCGCAUACAUGGUGAAAUUCUUCUGUUAUUCCAUUCUUUAUUAUUCUGUUGGAAUAACCUGUCUGUGCGGUCUAUCGCAUGCCUGGUAAAUUCUGUUGUUAUUCCAUUCUUUAUUAUUCUAUUGGAAUAACCUAUCUGUGCGGUCUAUUGCAUGCCUGAUGAAUUCUAUUAUUAUUCCAUUCUUUAUUAUACUGUUGGAAUAUCCUGUCUGUGCGGAUUACGCAUGACCUGGUUCCAUUCUUUAUUAUUCUGUUGAAAUAUCCUGUCUAUGCGGAUUACGCAUGACCUGGUUCCAUUCUUUAUUAUUCUGUUGGGAAUAACCUGUCUGUGCGGUCUAUCUCAUGCAUGGUGAAUUCCUCUAUUAUUCCAUUCUUUAUUAUUCUGUUGGAAUAACCUGUCUAUGUGGAUUACCGCAUGCAUGGUGAAUGAUCCUUUGUAUUCAUUCCUUAUUAAAUUAUGGAAAUUAUCUGUCUAUGUUGAUUACCGCAUGGCGGGUGAAAAUCCAUUUGCAGUUUCGUAUAUUCUAUUAUACUUGUCUGAGAUAUCAUUUCUUUUGUACUCGUCAUGGAAUAUCAUUUUCUUUGGUAUUAUUUUUACGAGUUACUAUUCACGAAUUACUAUUCACCCAAAAAAUAUAUUUCUUUUAUGUCCAAACUAUUUUUGGUACAUGAAUAUUAUUCUUCAAUUUCACUCCAAGCAGUAUCAUGUUGACAAUUUGGACGUUAUUGAUUUCUAGAUAAAUUAAAUUAUAAAUCUUUAAAAUUUAUUCUUGAACUUGUUUUAUUGAAUUAUUAUGUAAUUGUCAUCAUCCUCAUGCUUAUAUUCUGAUGAAAGUCAUCUUUGGCUUACGUGCAUAGAUGGACUUGGUAUGAUUAUGACCAGGGAUUAUUUGGUAUAAUCAUGAUCGUAAUGUGACGAAUGAUGUGGUGAAAGUCCUUAGUGGCCUGUAGUGCAUUGAUGGACAGUUUUUGGCAUGAUUAUGACCAGGGGUUAUUCGGUAUAGUCAUGACCAUUGAUGAUUUAAUGAAUAUCCUUGGCCGUGGUGCAGGGAUGAUUCGAUGAUGUGGUUUAUUUUUUUUUAGCUGAGUCUCAGCGAUAAAGUUGAUGAAUUUUUUUUUAAAUCAUAGAAGAUAGUAGAUUUUAUGCUCUACUUGACUCUUCUAAUGGAUUGCUUAUUUCCGCUGCAUUUGUUGAUCUAAAACUUGUUGUCUAUUGUAUUCUAUCAGUUGUUAUACUGUUGAAGGCUAAGGAUAAUUUAUUCUGCAUUAUCUUAGUCAUAAUAUUUUUUACUGGGCUAGUUGAGCUCACCCUUUCUUUCACUGUUCUCUUCAGGAAAUGAGAAUAUAUAGCUGGGACUAGUAGAGAAAUGGAGUGAUGGUCCGAGAGGGUGGCUAUAGUAGUCUUCACUAUUUUUAUUAAAUAGUGUGAUGAUAAUUGUAAUGAGGACACCAUUGAGUGUGGAUAUUGUCUAUAUGACAAUAUUCUUGUUUAAACUCUCAGCUAUGUUUUAUCGUAUUUUACACGACUGUUGUAUAAUUAAGUUAUAUUUGAAUUUAUGUACCAUGUAUCUGGCGACUCAAGAUGGGUGAUGUAUACCUGUUUUGGGGUGAUGUAUACCUGUUUUGCCCAAAGGGUGGUAGAGUUUGAGCGGAAGCUUGCAGUGGCCAAUUAGGAGAAGGAGACCUUAUUUGACCCGACAUACCCAUUCUCCUAGAGAUCGAUCGGGUCUGGACUGACCCAAAUAAAAGGGCUCCACACAUGGAGAGUUAUGAUGGAACCAAGGACCUGUAUGAUCAUAACCAGGUAUAUGACCGUUUGAUGAAAUAUUACGAUUAUUCGGAUGUAACCAAGUGUCAGAUGUUCAUCACAACCUUGGGGAAAGAAGCCAGAUAAUGGAUGACGUCGUUGGUCCUAAACUCAAUCUUGUCGUGGAAGGAGCUCUGUGACAAGUUUUAUUGUCGUUUUGGGAGCAACAAAACGAGGGGGAAACUGACCACUUCCCUGAUGCAAAUACGACGAUAUUCCAAUGAGACGCUGAGCCAUUAUGUAAAAAGAUAAUGAGAGGCGAUCGAAGCAUUGAUGGACUUGAAUGGUCCUCAAGCCCUCAAAUACUUCACCAUGGGGUUGGAUGUGGUAAGAUAAAAAAUGGUGAAUGAUAUAAUGUUCAACACCCUGAAAGAUCUGGCGGAAGCGUAUGAUAGAACAAAAGGCUUCAUUGUAAUUAAGGAGACUAUGGAUAGUUUGAAGCUAAACACGACAGAGAAGGGAUAGGAAUAACCAUCCCAGGUCGGAUAAUAACAACCAAUCGAAGAAGAAUUUCAGUGGGGUUUCAGGAGGUGGUCGAUCGACCUUCCCGAACCGAGGAAUCAACAAGGUGUAUACCCCACUUAACAUGGAUCGGGCACCAAUACUGGAGCAGAUAAGAGAUAAACCUAAUUUGAGCCUUGCUCGAAAAACACUCGUCCAAAGAGGGGGAACCAUAAUAAAUAUCAUAAUUACCACCAGACUGUUGGACACUCCACUGCAGUAUGUAGGAAUUUGAAGAAUUUGAUUGAGAAGAACGUAUACAGUGAAGAGUUGGUCUAGUAAGUUGUUGGGAAAGAGGGUUCCGGAAGAAGGCAGAAUAACAACAAACAGGACCAGAACCCUUAGUCGCAACCCGAACAAACGCAAGCAGCUCGACAAGUGGCCCAAGCCAUAGUCCACGUGGAGGAAGUCUCCCCACGUAGGAAUCUAUUUUGGGCAGUUGGAAAAAUUUAAGGAAUCUAUGAUUCAUAAUUGUAAUUAAUUUCCAAUUCUUAAGGAAAGAAUCAAGAUAUUAUUCAACUUCCUUUCCUUAAGGAGAUUCAAUUCUAUCACAUUAUGAUAUCCACCAUAAUGAGGGAUUCUAUUCUAAUUCUAGGACGAGCAUGAAGAAGAAUGUUUGAUCACUAUAAAUACAAGGAUAUACCCUGGUUCACAGGUACACAAUAUCACAUUAUUUUUAACACUAAAGCUUUAAGUUAAGCUUAUUCAACUUGUACUUAUUCUCACACCGGAGUUAUCCUCCGAUGGGCUAAGCCGUCAAGUUUCUCUGUGUGACUUUGUUUAGACAAAUUAUAUGUGAAUUUGUAUGUGAUACUUGUUGGAAUAAAGCAAGUUAAGUUUCUCUAUUUGAUUUUUCAAUCCAAAGAUCUUUCUAACAAUAAAUUUUUUCUCAAGGUUAUUUAUACUCUUCCAUUUCGAGAUAAGUGGAUUUAUCUUAGUUAAGCCACCUUCAAGAGAGUAUUUAAUCUUUCGCCAUCGAAAAAUAACUUAAACAAGAACACAAGUCAAACACUUAAGGUUAGCUUCACGAGGCACGUCCUGAAUCUGAUCUUUGAUUAUCAAGUGAUUAAGAAUUAGCUUUUAUCCCCAACUUGAUUUGUAUUCAAAGUACUCGAUUGUAACAAUAAAUGUUACCUAUGACAAUGGAGUGUAUUUGUAUUUAUGAAAGCUUUUUCUCAAAAACAAGUAAAAAUUGAAAACUCAUAAAGAUUCAAUACCAAAGUAUGAUAUACUUUAUACUAUAAAAAUUAUAACAAUGUAUAAAAAGUAAACAAUUAAAGCAAUACAUAGUGUUAAAGCCAUAAUAAUUCCAUAAUGUCAUCGCCAGAUAAACGUUGCCUGCACAAUGUAACAAAUUGGUGACCUGCACGAUUGUAGCCGCGAGGAGGACCCUCUGGUGUAGGAAUCAGUACAUGUAUUUUUAAAGGCAUUAAUAAUAUGCGAGGGACAUUAUAUUCUAGAGAAUGAGAGAGCUCAUGGAGAGCCUCCUAUUUUAGCCUUACCUUUAUUCCAUACAUAGAGGGAGAGAAGGCCACUUGGGCUUCGUUAACUAUGUUGGCCUUUUUCGUUGGGCCUAAAUACUUGUGCCUUAUGUAUUGGGCUUUGUUAAUAAUAUUCUAUAUUCUAUCAUUGUGAUGCCCCCAAAUCUGAGUAUUCACUACAAUAGAUUUGGUGCUCACUAUUUAUCUCAUCACACACAACUAACUAAAUAAUACAAACUAAUUCAUAUUAUUAUAUCAUUGACAUACUACAAUGAUGCAUUACCCCAUAAUUUACUUGUAACUCAUUUACAUACAAAUCAUACCAAAAUAUGACAUUUUUUUGUUAAUUAUUAAUAUAUUACUACUUUUCUAAUUCUCCUCUAAAACUUUACCCUUUCCCUCAUCUUUAGUGUUUGACCCUUUAGGUCCUUCUACUUUAACUGCAAAUAUAAUUUUCAGGGGAGUGAGCAACAAAUUUGGUCAACAAGUAGAAAGUUCAAUGAACAAUAAUAUCAAAGAAAAAAUGAAUAAUUAUCAAAAAUAAUCAUUAGACUUUAUGAAUUAGCAUGAAUAAAUAGCAAAUAAAAGGAUUUCUUUAAUCUUAAAUCUUUUCAACAUCACACUGGGCGGUCGUAAGGAUCAUGAACUCUUACCACUUUCAACAAUUAUAAACUACAAACUCUUUCAAUGUUUAACAGUCACACAGACUAAAAAACUCUUCACUGGUACUUUAGGGGAUUAACCCAUCGUAGCACAAGUUAUGCAUAACCAUUCUUUCACGCUUAAAGUUUCAAGUCAGUUACUCGACAUAAAUAUCCCCUUUAUUAGGGUUAUUCAUAAUCAAUCUUAGUCUCAGAAUCCACACCAAAGCAAUUUAGAUUGGAUCUAAUUACUUCCAAAGGAAAUAUCAACAAUUCAAUUAUCACAUCAAUUUUGUCUAGUCGGAACAAAUGACAUAGACUCGUAGUUUAAAACAAUUCAUGAAAAAAAUUAUAAUUUAAUAAAGAAGAGUUCAUAAAUACAUAUAAGUGAUGAAACAUAUAACUCAUGAAAUCUCAUAUGACAAGGAACUUGCACCGAGUAAUAAAUUUGCACAAGCUAAAGAGAUUGGCAUAUAAGCUUAAAAUUGGAAUAAGAUAGGAAACUAGCAAUAAAUUGAGGAACUUGCGAUAGGUUUGGGAAUUUACCUGAUUCACGAGUACUUUCCUUAUUUAACUCCCUUUUUGUCUUCAAAUUUUCACCUACAUCAUCCAUAAUAAUUUACUUAAUUAAAUCCUUUAUUACUUUUAAUAGUUGUAGACACUCGAAAUUUUGUUUUCCUGUUACUAACUAUGCAAGA